AAAAAAAAAAGCUGGUUGAAAAACCAGCUUACCUAUCAUCCAAUACCCAUGUGCAUUGAUUGAGCCUUUUGGUUUUUUUUAACCAAAAGGUGAAUCUCCAAUCUUUCCUGGUUGUUUUGACUGAAAAAAAAAAAUAAAAUAAAAUCCAAUA
This 151-nucleotide unclassified non-coding RNA is filed under the name uncultured fungus. RNAcentral describes it as "sequence contains ITS1, 5.8S rRNA gene". Lineage: Eukaryota; Fungi. The record is from RNAcentral.